UGAAGAUCAGACAUUUAACCUUUGAAAUGUGUUUCUUAUCAUGGAAUCAGUCCUUCUAGGAAAAGGGAAGAAGAAGGAGGUCAUGACAGCUUCAAAGGCUCUCUGCUUCCUGAGAAACAACAAAGCCUUGGAUUACUCAACAGGAAACCAUAUUUUUUUCAGAAGAAUUUAUUUCAACCAUUGUUUUACACUUACUCUUCUGGAAAACUCAACAGAGGAGCAGUUUCUCCCAAAAAG
This 237-nucleotide long non-coding RNA is filed under the name Chloebia gouldiae (Gouldian finch). RNAcentral's name for it is "Erythrura gouldiae (Gouldian finch) lncRNA (ENSEGOG00005001250.1)". The record is from RNAcentral. Lineage: Eukaryota; Metazoa; Chordata; Aves; Passeriformes; Passeridae.